UCGGGGAGGCAGCCAUGAGGAAUAUUGGACAAAGGGGGGAAAUCUGAUCCAGCCCAGCCGCCUGCAGGAAGAAGGUCCUAUGGAUUGUAAACCGCUUUUGUACGGGAGCAAUAAGAUCUACGAGUAGAUUGAUGAGAGUACUGUACGAAUAAGCAUCGGCUAACUCCGUGCCAGCAGCCGCGGUAAUACGGAGGAUGCAAGCGUUAUCCGGAUUUAUUGGGUUUAAAGGGUGCGUAGGUGGACUGUCAAGUCUGUGGUGAAAAGUUCGCGCUCAACGCGAAUCGUGCCAUGGAAACUGGUGGUCUUGAAUAGGGGUGCCGUUGGCGGAAUUUGAAGUGUAGCGGUGAAAUGCAUAGAUAUUACACAGAACAUCGAUUGCGAAAGCAGCUGACGAACCCUCGAUUGACCAUGAGGCCCGAAAAGGGGGGGAUUGAACCGGAUUAAAAACCCUGGUUGUUCCCCCCGUAAACGAUGACAACUGGCGGUUGGCGAUAA
Molecule: ribosomal RNA, 495 nt
Filed under: uncultured bacterium
Lineage: Bacteria
Description: bacterial SSU rRNA
Rfam family: Bacterial small subunit ribosomal RNA
Source: RNAcentral